CCUACGGGUGGCAGCAGUGGGGAAUAUUGCACAAUGGGGGAAACCCUGAUGCAGCGACGCCGCGUGAGUGAAGAAGUAAUUCGUUAUGUAAAGCUCUAUCAGCAGGGAAGAAAAUGACGGUACCUGAGUAAGAAGCCCCGGCUAACUACGUGCCAGCAGCCGCGGUAAUACGUAGGGGGCAAGCGUUAUCCGGAUUUACUGGGUGUAAAGGGAGCGUAGACGGCAGUGCAAGUCUGGAGUGAAAGGCGCGGGCUCAACCCCCGGACUGCUCUGGAAACUGGACGGCUUGAGUGCAGGAGAGGGAAGUAGAAUUCCUAGUGUAGCGGUGAAAUGCGUAGAUAUUAGGAGGAACACCAGUGGCGAAGGCGGCUUACUGGACUGUGACUGACGUUGAGGCUCGAAAGCGUGGGGAGCAAACAGGAUUAGAUACCCGGGUAGUC
RNAcentral lists this ribosomal RNA (440 nucleotides) under uncultured bacterium. RNAcentral describes it as "partial 16S ribosomal RNA". It matches the Rfam family "Bacterial small subunit ribosomal RNA", at positions 338 to 795 of the family's 1533-position model. The record is from RNAcentral.